RNAcentral lists this long non-coding RNA (939 nucleotides) under Vombatus ursinus (common wombat). RNAcentral describes it as "lncRNA (ENSVURG00010024357.1)". The record is from RNAcentral. Lineage: Eukaryota; Metazoa; Chordata; Mammalia; Diprotodontia; Vombatidae.
AUGGGCCGAAAGAAGAAGACUUUACAUGACUAUGCAGCUGAGUUUACAGACCUGGGGGUAAAACGGCAUGUGAUUGAACACAGUGAGUCUGGGGGCACCUCUGUGGUAGAGACUCUAUACUGCAAAUCCUGUGAGCUGCCCAUGAGGGUGAGGAGGGACCGCAUCCUGGAGCACCUGUCCUCUGGCAGGCAUUAUAGGAACCGUCACCGCAUGAAGCAGCGUGGAGGCCAAACUCCCAUCUUUAUAUCAGCAGCCUCAGACCUGAGUAGCCACCUCCCUGUACAGGUUGAUCCUCCUCCAGCCUUGCUUUCUCAGCCUCCCUAUGUUUUCCCAGGCGUUCCCUGCCUUACCAGUACCAGUGCCAGCAUGGUGCCUUCACCUCCUUCCUACCACAGAGCUUUGCUCCCUGCCCACCUCAGUGCUAUCAGCUCCACAACCAGUGCCGUGCCUGUCAGAGAAGACCAAACUCCAUCUACCUCCACCAACCACCCUUCUGCAUUCACGACUCUUCACGUGAAAAGCCCCGCCGUCCCCUCAGAACAGAAUAGCCAAAGGCUUAUUGUUUCAGAAGCAUCCAGCAGUGUGGCUUCUGGAAGCGGAGUAGGAUGGCUUCUUAGUGAUGGGGCUUUGGGAAGCAGCCUUGGCCUUGCUCUCUUUGGUGUAGGCUCUGGGAACAAGGCAUUGUUUCAGAGCUUAGUGGAAGAAGACAGCUGCUGCCUGCUCUACGUGGUUGAAGAUCAGCUGUCAGAUGUCGAGCAGGCCUUCAGAUCAGACCAUUUGGUGAACACCCGCGUGCUUCGGGAGCAAGAUGCCAACAUUGUACUUAAUGAUCAGCGUGUCUCUGGAGUCAUUAUCUGUUCACCCCCUGAAGCAGCUUCUGAAAUUGUGAUGGGUGCAUUGAGAGCAGGUAAGGAAACUACUCUUGAUUUCACUCCCUAA